This is a long non-coding RNA of Pantherophis guttatus, 397 nucleotides long. RefSeq lists it as uncharacterized. The record is from RefSeq and is a predicted model, not a curated record. NCBI's taxonomy places the organism in Eukaryota, Metazoa, Chordata, Lepidosauria, Squamata, Colubridae.
CAAUGGCUUCUAUGCUACCACACAGCACCACGAUUCUCCAGAGGAUUCUGAGAACAGGAGCAGGGUGACCGUGCUUCAGGACUUGAUGGGUAGAAGAAGACGAGGGAGGAGGUAAAGGAAAUAAUGAAUUCACUCCACCCUUCCAGGCAGAAGGAAAAGUGCUAGUAAUCAGUCAGAUGCAAGAAGGUCAAAUUAACAAUAACAAAAGGUACAGUAUAAUGAAGUGAUGGGUGUAGCCCGGACAUGGAUGCCAGAAUACUUUGCCAGCAGAAACAAGAACGAACAGCUAGGUACAUGAUGUCAUUGUGAAAUGAAUUUUAAUUUCCUAAAUGCAGGUGAAUUUUCCCUUAGAAGACACGUUUGUCCCAUCAGUGAAUAAACUUAAUUUCAAUCCUGU